This 811-nucleotide ribosomal RNA is filed under the name uncultured Sulfolobales archaeon. RNAcentral describes it as "bacterial SSU rRNA". It matches the Rfam family "Archaeal small subunit ribosomal RNA", at positions 85 to 879 of the family's 1478-position model. Lineage: Archaea; Thermoproteati; Thermoproteota; Thermoprotei; Sulfolobales. The record is from RNAcentral.
ACKGCUCAGUAACACGUGGCUAACCUACCCUCGAGACAGGGACAACCCCGGGAAACUGGGGCUAAUCUCCGAUAGAUGAGAACACCUGGAACGGGUUCUCGUCCAAAAGGCGCCUAGAUCAUGCUUCUAGACGCUGCUCAAGGAUGGGGCCGCGGCCGAUCAGGCUGUUGGUGAGGCAAUGGCUCACCAAACCUUUAACCGGUACGGGCCGUGGGAGCGGGAGCCCGGAGAUGGGAACUGAGACAAGGUCCCAGGCCCUACGGGGCGCAGCAGUCGCGAAAACUUGUCAAUGCACGAAAGUGUGAACGGGCUACCCCGAGUGCCGUCCGCUGAGGAUGGCUUUUCUCUGCUGUAAGGAAGCGGAGGAAUAAGGCGAGGGCAAGUCUGGUGUCAGCCGCCGCGGUAAUACCAGCUCGCCGAGUGGUAGGGAUGAUUAUUGGGCUUAAAGCGUCCGUAGCCGGCCUUUCAAGUCUCUCGUUAAAUCCAGCGAUUCAAUCGUUGGACUGCGGGAGAUACUGUUAGGCUAGGAGGCGGGAGAAGCCGACGGUAUUUUCGGGGUAGGGGUAAAAUCCUAUAAUCCCGGGAAGACCACCAGUGGCGUAGGCGGUCGGCUAGCACGCGCUCGACGGUGAGGGACGAAAGCUGGGGGAGCGAACCGGAUUAGAUACCCGGGUAGUCCCAGCUGUAAACGAUGCUGGCUAGGUGUUGGAGCGGCUACGAGCCGCUCCAGUGCCGCAGGGAAGCCAUUAAGCCAGCCGCCUGGGGAGUACGGCCGCAAGGCUGAAACUUAAAGGAAUUGGCGGGGGAGCAC